This 924-nucleotide ribosomal RNA is filed under the name uncultured Bacteroidota bacterium. Its description in RNAcentral is "bacterial SSU rRNA". It matches the Rfam family "Bacterial small subunit ribosomal RNA", at positions 1 to 916 of the family's 1533-position model. Lineage: Bacteria; Pseudomonadati; Bacteroidota. The record is from RNAcentral.
GGAUCCAGACUUUGAUUCUGGCUCAGGAUGAACGCUAGCUACAGGCUUAACACAUGCAAGUCGAGGGGAAACGACAUCGAAAGCUUGCUUUUGAUGGGCGUCGACCGGCGCACGGGUGAGUAACGCGUAUCCAACCUGCCCACCACUUGGGAAUAACCUUGCGAAAGUAAGACUAAUACCCAAUGAUAUCUCUAGAAGACAUCUGAGGGAGAUUAAAGAUUUAUCGGUGAUGGAUGGGGAUGCGUCUGAUUAGCUUGUUGGCGGGGUAACGGCCCACCUAGGCGACGAUCAGUAGGGGUUCUGAGAGGAAGGUCCCCCACAUUGGAACUGAGACACGGUCCAAACUCCUACGGGAGGCAGCAGUGAGGAAUAUUGGUCAAUGGGCGAGAGCCUGAACCAGCCAAGUAGCGUGCAGGAUGACGGCCCUAUGGGUUGUAAACUGCUUUUAUAAGGGAAUAAAGUGAGAGUCGUGACUCUUUUUGCAUGUACCUUAUGAAUAAGGACCGGCUAAUUCCGUGCCAGCAGCCGCGGUAAUACGGAAGGUCCGGGCGUUAUCCGGAUUUAUUGGGUUUAAAGGGAGCGUAGGCCGGAGAUUAAGCGUGUUGUGAAAUGUAGAUGCUCAACAUCUGCACUGCAGCGCGAACUGGUUUCCUUGAGUACGCACAAAGUGGGCGGAAUUCGUGGUGUAGCGGUGAAAUGCUUAGAUAUCACGAAGAACUCCGAUUGCGAAGGCAGCUCACUGGAGCGCAACUGACGCUGAAGCUCGAAAGUGCGGGUAUCGAACAGGAUUAGAUACCCUGGUAGUCCGCACGGUAAACGAUGGAUGCCCGCUGUUGGUCUGAAUAGGUCAGCGGCCAAGCGAAAGCAUUAAGCAUCCCACCUGGGGAGUACGCCGGCAACGGUGCAACUCAAAUGAAUUGACGG